RNAcentral lists this ribosomal RNA (745 nucleotides) under uncultured bacterium. RNAcentral describes it as "bacterial SSU rRNA". It matches the Rfam family "Bacterial small subunit ribosomal RNA", at positions 33 to 773 of the family's 1533-position model. The record is from RNAcentral.
ACGCUGGCGGCAGGCCUAACACAUGCAAGUCGAGCGGUAGAGAGGAGCUUGCUUCUCUUGAGAGCGGCGGACGGGUGAGUAAUGCCUAGGAAUCUGCCUGGUAGUGGGGGAUAACGUUCGGAAACGGACGCUAAUACCGCAUACGUCCUACGGGAGAAAGCAGGGGACCUUCGGGCCUUGCGCUAUCAGAUGAGCCUAGGUCGGAUUAGCUAGUUGGUGGGGUAAUGGCUCACCAAGGCGACGAUCCGUAACUGGUCUGAGAGGAUGAUCAGUCACACUGGAACUGAGACACGGUCCAGACUCCUACGGGAGGCAGCAGUGGGGAAUAUUGGACAAUGGGCGAAAGCCUGAUCCAGCCAUGCCGCGUGUGUGAAGAAGGUCUUCGGAUUGUAAAGCACUUUAAGUUGGGAGGAAGGGUUGUAGAUUAAUACUCUGCAAUUUUGACGUUACCGACAGAAUAAGCACCGGCUAACUCUGUGCCAGCAGCCGCGGUAAUACAGAGGGUGCAAGCGUUAAUCGGAAUUACUGGGCGUAAAGCGCGCGUAGGUGGUUAGUUAAGUUGGAUGUGAAAUCUCCGGGCUCAACCUGGGAACUGCAUUCAAAACUGACUGACUAGAGUAUGGUAGAGGGUGGUGGAAUUUCCUGUGUAGCGGUGAAAUGCGUAGAUAUAGGAAGGAACACCAGUGGCGAAGGCGACCACCUGGACUGAUACUGACACUGAGGUGCGAAAGCGUGGGGAGCAAAC